CACAUUGUCUUGAUCAAGAGUGUGUGAAGCUUUUGAAAAUUGUAGUUGAACUCCUUUGAUGAAGCUUUUGUUCGCACCAUAAAUUGGUUUUGCUUCACACUGUCUUGAUCAAGAGUGUGUGAAGCUUUUGAGAAUUGUGGUUUCCCUCCAUUGAUGAAGCUCUUGUUGGCACCAUAAAUUGGUUUUGCUUCACACUGUCUUGAUCAAGAGUGUGUGCAGCUUUUGAGAAUUGUGGUUGAACUCCUUUGAUGAAGCUCUUGUUGGCAACAUAAAUCGGUUUUGCUUCACAUUGUCUUGAUCAAGAGUGUGUGAAGCUUUUGAGAAUUGUGGUUGCCCUCCAUUGAUGCCAAGAGUGUGUGAAGCUUUUAAGAAUUGUGAUUACCAUCCAUUGAUGAAGCUCUUGUUGGCACCAUAAAUUGGUUUUGCUUCACACUGUCUUGAUCAAGAGUGUGUGAAGCUUUUGAGAAUUGUGGUUGAACUCCUUUGAUGAAGCUCUUGUUGGCACCAUAAAUUGGUUUUGCUUCACACUGUCUUGAUCAAGAGUGUGUGAAGCUUUUGAGAAUUGUGGUUUCCCUCCAUUGAUGAAGCUCUUGUUGGCACCAUAAAUUGGUUUUGCUUCACACUGUCUUGAUCAAGAGUGUGCCAAGCUUUUGAGAAUUAUGGUUGAACUCCUUUGAUGAAGCUCUUGUUGGCACCAUAAAUUAGUUUUUCUUCGCACUGUCUUGAUCAAGAGUGUGUGAAACUUUUGAGAAUUGUGGUUGCCCUCCAUUGAUGAAGCUAUUGUCGGCACCAUAAAUUGGUUUUGCUUCACACUGUCUUGAUCGAGAGUGUCUGAAGCUUUCUACGAGUUGUAGUGUUUGCAUUGUUACAGAGGGGAAAUGUUUGAAG
RNAcentral lists this long non-coding RNA (888 nucleotides) under Malus domestica (apple). RNAcentral's name for it is "long non-coding RNA (MDOM_LNC011247)". Lineage: Eukaryota; Viridiplantae; Streptophyta; Magnoliopsida; Rosales; Rosaceae. The record is from RNAcentral.